This 520-nucleotide ribosomal RNA is filed under the name uncultured Glomus. RNAcentral's name for it is "SSU rRNA". It matches the Rfam family "Eukaryotic small subunit ribosomal RNA", at positions 569 to 1090 of the family's 1831-position model. Lineage: Eukaryota; Fungi; Glomeromycota; Glomeromycetes; Glomerales; Glomeraceae. The record is from RNAcentral.
AGCAGCCGCGGUAAUUCCAGCUCCAAUAGCGUAUAUUAAAGUUGUUGCAGUUAAAAAGCUCGUAGUUGAAUUUCGGGGUUAGUAGGUUGGUCGUGCCACUGGUACGUACUGGUCUCACUGAUUCCUCCUUCCUGAUGAGCUGUAAUGCCAUUAAUUUGGUGUUGCAGGGAAACUGGACUGUUACUUUGAAAAAAUUAGAGUGUUUAAAGCAAGCUAACGCUUGAAUACAUUAGCAUGGAAUAAUGAAAUAGGACGUUCGAUCCUAUUUUGUUGGUUUCUAGGAUUGACGUAAUGAUUAAUAGGGAUAGUUGGGGGCAUUAGUAUUCAAUUGUCAGAGGUGAAAUUCUUGGAUUUAUUGAAGACUAACUACUGCGAAAGCAUUUGCCAAGGAUGUUUUCAUUAAUCAAGAACGAAAGUUAGGGGAUCGAAGACGAUCAGAUACCGUCGUAGUCUUAACCAUAAACUAUGCCGACUAGGGAUCGGGUGAUGUUAAUUUUUUAAUGACUCAUUCGGCGCCUUA